GACGAACGCUGGCGGCGUGCUUAACACAUGCCAGUCGAACGGAAAGGCCCCUUUGGGGGUCCUCGAGUGGCGAACGGGUGCGUAACACGUGAGUAACCUGCCCUUGACUUCGGGAUAACUUCAGGAAACUGGGGCUAAUACCGGAUAGGAAUCCUUGCUGCAUGGUGGGGGUUGGAAAGCUUCGGCGGUUUUGGAUGGACUCGCGGCUUAUCGGCUUGUUGGUGGGGUAGUGGCUUACCAAGGCGUUGACGGGUAGCCGGCCUGAGAGGGCGACCGGCCACAGUGAGACUGAGAUACGGCCCAGACUCCUACGGGAGGCAGCAGUGGGGAAUCUUGCACAAUGGGCGGAAGCCUGAUGCAGCAACGCCGCGUGCGGGAUGACGGCCUUCGGGUUGUAAACCGCUUUCAGCAGGGGCGAAGCUUGUGGUGACGGUACCUGCAGAAGAAGCACCGGCUAACUACGUG
Molecule: ribosomal RNA, 465 nt
Filed under: uncultured bacterium
Lineage: Bacteria
Description: partial 16S ribosomal RNA
Rfam family: Bacterial small subunit ribosomal RNA
Source: RNAcentral